Molecule: ribosomal RNA, 253 nt
Filed under: uncultured bacterium
Lineage: Bacteria
Description: partial 16S ribosomal RNA
Rfam family: Bacterial small subunit ribosomal RNA
Source: RNAcentral
UACGUAGGGCGCGAGCGUUAAUCGGAAUUACUGGGCGUAAAGUGUGCGCAGGCGGCCGAGCAAGUCGGGUGUGAAAGCCCCGAGCUUAACUUGGGAACUGCGCUCGAAACUACUUGGCUAGAGUGUGGCAGAGGGAGGUGGAAUUCCACGUGUAGCGGUGAAAUGCGUAGAGAUGUGGAGGAACACCGAUGGCGAAGGCAGCCUCCUGGGCCAACACUGACGCUCAUGCACGAAAGCGUGGGGAGCAAACAGG